GCUGUAAAUCUAGCCCAUCCACACUUCACACUUUCCCCUUUCCCCCACCCCCAAAACAUUGCAACUCUUUAGUAUAAGUGAUAGAAAAAGACAUUGAAGCCAUAGAUACAGUACCGCAAGGGAACAAUGAAAUAGAAAUGAAAUAAAACAUAAAAGCAUAACACAGCAAAGACUAACCCUUGUACCUUUUGCAUCAUGAUCUAGCCAGUCACCCCAAGCAAAAAGUAAUUGAAGUUUGACCCCCCGAAACUAGAUGAGCUACUCCGGGGCAGCCGCCAGGGCCAACCCGUCUCUGUAGCAAAAGAGUGGGAUGACCCCCGAGUAGAGGUGAUAAGCCUAACGAACCUAGUGAUAGCUGGUUGCCCAGGAAAAGAAUUUUAGUUCAACCUUAAAAACAUUUACAAUGCACACAUACAUAAUGCCUAUUAAGAGCUAUUCGAAAGGGGUACAGCCCUUUUGAAUUAGGAAACAGCCUAAAACCAUGGGUAAUGCUUAUAUUAAUAAAGGGCGCUAUCGCUAAAGUGGGCCUAAUAGCAGCCACCUUAAAAAAUAGCGUCACAGCUUAAGCGACACCCAACCCAAUAAUACCAAUAACUAAUCAAAACCCGCCAACACUACUGGGCCUAUCUAUGCCCACAUAGAUAUGCUCAUGCUAGAAUAAGUAACAAGAACUAAAGCAUCUCCUAAUGUGAGUGUAACCCAGACCGAAUUAAUCACUGGCAAUUAACGCUAUAGAUGAAGAAAAUGUAGCAACCACACAAGAAAACCCUACAACAAUUAUCGUUAACCUAACACAAGAACAUACCAGGAAAGAUUAAAAGACAAGGAAGGAACUCGGCAAACAUGAACCUCGCCUGUUUACCAAAAACACCGCCUCUCGCAUUACAUGUAUGAGAGGUAUCGCCUGCCCAGUGACUAUACGUUCAACGGCCGCGGUAUUCUGACCGUGCAAAGGUAGCGCAAUCAUUUGUCUUUUAAAUAAAGACUAGUAUGAACGGCUCCACGAGGGAUCAACUGUCUCCCAUGUCCAAUCAGUGAAAUUGAUUUUCCAGUGCAGAAGCUGGGAUAUUAACAUAAGACGAGAAGACCCCAUGGAGCUUAAGACAUAAGAGCAACUACAACUACUAACUACCCAAAAAGGCACAUCACACAAAAUAGAUUUGACUCCAUGUCUUAGGUUGGGGCGACCACGGAGAAAAAUAAACCUCCGAGCCGAAUGGGGCACUAAUACCCCCCUUAACCAAGAGCUACAAUUCUAAGUAAUAGAACCUCUAACGGAAUCUGAUCCAAAUAUUUGAUCAACGAACUAAGUUACCCUGGGGAUAACAGCGCAAUCCACUCCAAGAGCCCAUAUCGACGAGCGGGUUUACGACCUCGAUGUUGGAUCAGGACCCCCUAAUGGUGAAGCCGCUAUUAACGUGUUCGUUUGUUCAACGAUUAAAGUCCUACGUGAUCUGAGUUCAGACCGGAGUAAUCCAGGUCAGUUUCUAUCUAUGCAGCAACUUUCCUAGUACGAAAGGACCGGAAAAGUGGGGCCCAUGCAAAAACAAGCCCCCGUCUACUACUAAUGAAAACAGCUCAAUAAGUUAUAGACCUAAAACAAAUGCCCUAAUCUAGGGCUA
This 1622-nucleotide ribosomal RNA is filed under the name Leiopelma hochstetteri. Its description in RNAcentral is "16S ribosomal RNA". It matches the Rfam family "Bacterial large subunit ribosomal RNA". The record is from RNAcentral. Lineage: Eukaryota; Metazoa; Chordata; Amphibia; Anura; Leiopelmatidae.